Long non-coding RNA from Lingula anatina, 328 nucleotides. The record is from RefSeq and is a predicted model, not a curated record. Lineage: Eukaryota; Metazoa; Brachiopoda; Lingulata; Lingulida; Lingulidae.
GUGACACAUUGUUUUCCUCUUGUGACAUUCAGGAAGAUGGUUGAUGUUUUUGCUGGUCUUGUGAUUGCAUCAUGUUUCAUAGUUUUGGUAAUAGACGACACUCAGGCGGUGUGUUGCCGCAAAGCCCAUGCUGACGGGUUUUGUGCAGAUUGUAGCAAGACUUGGUGGUACUGUGGAAAGGGAGCUGCAAUAUAUUUGGCUGUGCAUGCCAGGGAGGAUGUAAAGAAAGUUGCAACCCAACUUUUAUGAGAGAAGAUCCCGGCUGCAUUUGUAAAAAUCAAAGAAGGGGCAUUCCAGCUAAUGUUCCCGCCAUUUAAGAUGUUGAUAC